GACGAACGCUGGCGGCGUGGAUUAGGCAUGCAAGUCGAACGGUAUCAUCCUUUCGGGGGUGAGAGAGUGGCGAACUGGUGAGUAACACGUAGGUUAUCUACCCUCAAGACGGGGACAACCCAGGGAAACUUGGGCUAAUACCGGAUGUGAGCAACUUUUAGUUGUUUGAAAGGUGGCGUAAGCUGUCGCUUGGGGAUGAGCCUGCGUCCUAUUAGUUAGUUGGUGAGGUAACGGCUCACCUAGGCAAUGAUAGGUAGGCGGCCUUAACGGGUGGUCGCCCACACUGGGAUUGAGAUACGGCCCAGACUCCUACGGGAGGCAGCAGUCGAGAAUAGUCUACAAUGGUUCGGAAGACUGAUAGUGCGACGCCGCGUGAACGAUGAAUCCCUUCGGGGUGUAAAGUUCUUUUAUAUGUGAGCAGUGCUUCUUAUAUUAACAGUAUGGGGAGAGAGAUAUUAGCAUAUGAAUAAGCAACGGCUAACUCCGUGCCAGCAGCCGCGGUAAACUCGU
Molecule: ribosomal RNA, 510 nt
Filed under: uncultured bacterium
Lineage: Bacteria
Description: bacterial SSU rRNA
Rfam family: Bacterial small subunit ribosomal RNA
Source: RNAcentral